RNAcentral lists this ribosomal RNA (254 nucleotides) under uncultured bacterium. Its description in RNAcentral is "partial 16S ribosomal RNA". It matches the Rfam family "Bacterial small subunit ribosomal RNA", at positions 524 to 776 of the family's 1533-position model. The record is from RNAcentral.
UACGUAGGGGCCAAGCGUUGUCCGGAUUUAUUGGGCGUAAAGAGCUCGUAGGCGGUUCGGCAAGUCGAAUGUGAAAUCUCCACGCUCAACGUGGAGGGGUCAUUCGAUACUGCCGUGACUUGAGUACGGUAGGGGUGUGUGGAAUUCCCGGUGUAGCGGUGAAAUGCGCAGAGAUCGGGAGGAACACCCGUAGCGAAGGCGGCACUCUGGGCCGAUACUGACGCUGAGACGCGAAAGCGUGGGGAGCGAACAGG